This 1734-nucleotide long non-coding RNA is filed under the name Salmo salar (Atlantic salmon). RNAcentral describes it as "lncRNA (ENSSSAG00000109820.1)". The record is from RNAcentral. Lineage: Eukaryota; Metazoa; Chordata; Actinopteri; Salmoniformes; Salmonidae.
GCAUGAGAGAGUUACAGAGCGAGACAGAGAAAGAGAGGAAAGGAUAGAAUGAGUGUGAGAGAGAGGAAGGGAAUAUGAACAGAGUAUCUGAAAGAGUGUAAUAGAAGAAUAGAGCAAGAGAGCAACAUUGAGAGAGGAGACUAAGUGAGGGCUCAUCGUGGACUUAGUACUGAUCGGGGGGGUGGAAAAGAGUAGGUGUUAGAAUGAAAUGUAGUCUGCUGUCAGUUGUGGAGGAGAAAAGGAGCCGAGUACAACAGGUGCACUUAUAAAGACUUUCUGCAGUUUCUUCAAGACAAGACAACCUGAGUAAAACAAACAACCAGGCCACUGCUGGAAGAUCGAUUGAUCCCUUAUUCCUAUUUGUCAGUGUUGUCAUGGCGAGGCACUGGCGUCUGUCAUCGGAGCGCUUCCCCCCUGUCAGCGGCCAUUUUGGAUCAACAGGCGGUCUCAGGACGGAGAGAAAAGAAGAGGAAGAGGAAGGCUCACCCAUCUACUCCCUCUCCAAGAGCUCCAUGGACGUAGUCAUGGCAACCAAACACCCGCAUCUGCGAGACCCGGCGUGGGCAAAACUGGAGCUGAGACGGAGCGUCAGCCAAAAUGCACAGUCCUCCCCAAACAGACACACACCAAAACUCACACCCCUGCAGCAAUACAUACAACAACCCACACCCUCACACUCACAGACAUCUCAAAACAUACACGGGCACGGAUCUCCCCUUAGUAACGAGCGUGUGGCGCGUUGGAGUAUGUGUAGCACCAGUAUGUGUAGCAGUGGUAGCACACCAGAGACGGUCAUAUGGAAGGGAGGGAGUAUGACUGAGGAGACCCCGUGCAUCCUGUACUCUGCUCGCUGCUCCCGACUGGCUUCAGAGUCUCAGUCUUCCAUACAAACACCUGCUACACCCUCACCUUUCACCUCACCCCUAAACACACCCACUCAGAGCCCAACCCUACACACACGCCACAACCUACCCCAACUCCAAUACAGACCGUCACCCCUUACCGCAGACACACCCUGUCAGACACACACACCCUCACCUAUGUCCUCACCCCUACCCGUAAUGUCACCCCUACCCUCACCCCUAUCUGUAACCUCACCUCUACCCUCACCUCCAGCUGUAAUAUCGUGCCUACCCUCACCCCUAUCUGUAACCUCACCUCUACCCUCACCUCCAGCUGUAAUAUCAUGCCUACCCUCACCCCUGACCCCUAAAGGAUGCCAACCAAAUCCUUACACAGAUGAGGCCUGUUCCCCCCACAAGCAUCCCUCUUCCCCCUUUCCCUCCCCCUUCCCCUCUCCUUCCUGUAGAGCUCAGGGUGUGGAAGGUCUGGAGGAGAGGGGCAGCAUUGAGCAGGUUCCACCCCAACCAGGGUGCACCCCUAUGGGGAUGUACUAUGUAGAGAAGCCCCCUAUCCUGAGCCCCAGACCCAGCCCUAACAACAACACACCUCCCUUGGGUGUUUCCUUGGGCAUCCCUGUACAGCAGCAAGAAGUGGAGAUGGACCCUCGGGUGUUUUUCCCCAGCCCACCUGCUCACCUGGCAUUGUCAUGGUCACCGAGGCUCACCUGUCCGUCUGGCCGAGGUCAGAGAUCGGCAGGUUUAGUUUCCUCCCUCAGUGACUCACGAUUGGACGGCUGCCCCCGCUGCUCCUGUAACUCCGCCUAUUCAGGGGUCAUGAACUUGAUGACAUCAUUACCCCAGGGGUCAGCGUUCAGGGAGGAGGGGACAAUGA